This 1655-nucleotide long non-coding RNA is filed under the name Malus domestica (apple). Its description in RNAcentral is "long non-coding RNA (MDOM_LNC005946)". The record is from RNAcentral. Lineage: Eukaryota; Viridiplantae; Streptophyta; Magnoliopsida; Rosales; Rosaceae.
GGGGGGGGGGGGAGGGCAUUUUCGGCUAAUAAGCCUUAUAGCAAUGCAUAUGAUUAUUUCAUUGGACUAUUUGGAUUUAGUGGUGCAUGCAUGUUGGUCAGAUUUCUUUCAAAUGUGUAAUCCAAGUUAGACAAUUUGACAUGUAUGACAUCAUACUAGACCAUGUAGUUAGAGAAAAUAUACCUCAAUCUAAUUUAUUUAUAUUCAUUUAUGUAAUGACUUACAUAAUACAUACAUGCGUGCAUGCAUGCAUACAUACAAUCACCUGUGAACUACAUGUAUCAAAUAAAAACCCACAUGAGUAUUAAUUUAGGAUAUCUAUAUAUAUAUAUAUACACACAAAAUUAUCGGGUGAGGGGUGAAGUUUAAAAAGUUUAAGGUCCCAAAAAAUGUGGACAUCUGUUCGAGGUCUAAGUCUAGGGUUUGCAAGAAGAUUAUGUGAACUACCCAGAAUAUUCGUAGGAGAAUUUGCACUAACCAAGGAUUUGGACUACUCAAAAUAUUCAAAGGAGCUGUCACAGUCCGUCCCGAAAUAUUUAGUUUCGACGGUGUGAAAUGACGGUUUUAUCCUUGGACGUUGAGAUUGUGAUGUGUGUGACAUACUUUUGGGAUGUAGACCAAUAUGUUGAGUUCCUAAGUUUUGGAUUCAAUUAAAAGUUAAACUUUUGUUUGUUUUGGUUGGCGACCAAGUGAAGACACACACACACACACACAAAAACAACCUCGUGCACUCUCUCUCUCCUUUUCUUGGCCUUCCUACCAUUACGGACGAACACCAAACUCACAUUUCACGCACAAAUCAACGUCAAGAAGGUAAGAUUCGAACUCCUUGCAAGUCUCUAAGUUCAUGUAUGCCAUUUUUAGAUAGUGAAACCUUCAAAACCCCGAGAAACCAUCACCCCUGAUUUGAGUACUGUUCAUGUCGUCAUAAUUAUGAUGUUUCAUGGGAUUUUAAUCUCAUAGGAAGCUUUAGGAUGUUCUUACGAAGCUCAAAGAAGAAAAACCAAGCAAAUUGGACAUCGGGAAGUCGAGUUUGGUGAGUUUGAAAGUUGGCUGGAAUUAUCGUGCUUUCUCCAGCGAGAUCUUGUGAUUGUUAGAGCUUGAAAUUGGUAAGAAUGUGUUCUAUUCAUUGUAAGCUUCAAUUUGGUUUAAGUUUCAUGAAUUUUGGUGUAAAUGAAGAAGUUAGAAGGAUUUUUAGAUUUUCCAGUUUCCGGCGACGGCGACGGUCGCCGGAGUUGGUAGGAGAUGACCGAAUAUUCUGUCAAUUUUGACAAAAUAUUCCUAACAGUGACUAACUGCGUUAGUUAAAUUUAACGGAAUAUUCCUAACAGCCUUUAGGCCUCAGUUAAGGUUUGGUUGUGCGUGGGGGCGCGUAGGGCUGUGCCCUUGCCAGCGCGUGACGGCUCCAAAAUUAUUUUUAAAAUUUGGGCGUGUUCCUGAGGUUGUGUAGAUCACGUUGGUAUAUUUAAACACCUCAUUUGAGCAAUAUAUGAGAAGUUAUUAGCCAAUAUUGGUUAUGUGCUUUAAAUUAACGAUUUUAUAGUCAUUUUGCAUAUAGGGGAGAUGUUGGAAAUGUGCCUUAAAGCCAAUCAUGUGAUGAUACUUUACGGACAUUUCACAUGUUAAACUAAUCUAGUUUUACAUAUAAAGGGCAU